UCUCGCCUAGAAAGGGAGUGAUGGCUCCUCCUCGCCAGCUAAUUUCUGAGGGAACUGCUCCUCUAAAACUCAAGUUGUAGGACAUUCCUGCAACUUUGUCUGCUUAUGGCAUGCGUUCUCUUCCUCUCUCUACAAUUUUUUAGCUGCAAGUGUUUAGCUUAACACAAAAAUACUUGCACUUUGUUGUUCAAAGAAUCUAUGAUAAAUUGUAACAUAUUGUUUGAGUAAUACUUUUGUGAGACCCUGGAACUGGGUCCGGUCCACUUGACCGGCCUAGUCCCAACACUUGCACGUGAGGCAGCAACGGGAUGGAUUCUUUCCAUCCCGAAGAAGAAGGAGGAGCCCUGUUUUAGGGCUUCCUUCUCCUUCUUCUUCUCCUUUGAGCCCACCGAAGGAGAGCCGCCGCACGCAAAGGGGGGAGGGUCUUCUUCGUGUGGCCACCGAGAGAGAGGAAGAGAGGGAGAGAGAGAGAGAGAGAGAGAGAGAGG
RNAcentral lists this long non-coding RNA (488 nucleotides) under Phoenix dactylifera (date palm). RNAcentral's name for it is "long non-coding RNA (PDAC_LNC002770)". Lineage: Eukaryota; Viridiplantae; Streptophyta; Magnoliopsida; Arecales; Arecaceae. The record is from RNAcentral.